Molecule: small nuclear RNA, 107 nt
Filed under: Vombatus ursinus (common wombat)
Lineage: Eukaryota; Metazoa; Chordata; Mammalia; Diprotodontia; Vombatidae
Source: RNAcentral
GUGCUUGCUUUGGCAGCACAUAUACUAAAAUUGGACAGAUACAGAGAAGGUUAGCAUGGUCCCUGUGCAAGGAUGACAUGCAAAUUCAUGAGGCAUUCCAUGUUUUU